RNAcentral lists this ribosomal RNA (253 nucleotides) under uncultured bacterium. RNAcentral's name for it is "partial 16S ribosomal RNA". It matches the Rfam family "Bacterial small subunit ribosomal RNA", at positions 524 to 776 of the family's 1533-position model. The record is from RNAcentral.
UACAGAGGGGGCAAGCGUUGUUCGGAAUUACUGGGCGUAAAGGGCUCGUAGGCGGCCAACUAAGUCACACGUGAAAUCCCCAGGCUUAACCUGGGAACUGCGUGUGAUACUGGAUGGCUUGAAUUCGGGAGAGGGAUGCAGAAUUCCAGGUGUAGCGGUGAAAUGCGUAGAUAUCGGGAGGAACACCAGUGGCGAAGGCGACUACCUGGCCUGUUCUUGACGCUGAGGCGCGAAAGCUAGGGGAGCAAACGGG